This 840-nucleotide ribosomal RNA is filed under the name uncultured beta proteobacterium. RNAcentral describes it as "bacterial SSU rRNA". It matches the Rfam family "Bacterial small subunit ribosomal RNA", at positions 58 to 892 of the family's 1533-position model. Lineage: Bacteria; Pseudomonadati; Pseudomonadota; Betaproteobacteria. The record is from RNAcentral.
CAAGUCGAACGGCAGCACGGGGGGCAACCCCUGGUGGCGAGUGGCGAACGGGUGAGUAAUAUAUCGGAACGUACCCUGUAGCGGGGGAUAACCUCUCGAAAGAGAGGCUAAUACCGCAUACGACCUACGGGUGAAAGCGGAGGACCGCAAGGCUUCGCACUAUAGGAGCGGCCGAUACCGGAUUAGCUAGUUGGCGGGGUAACAGCCCACCAAGGCUACGAUCCGUAGCUGGUCUGAGAGGACGAUCAGCCACACUGGAACUGACACACGGUCCAGACUCCUACGGGAGGCAGCAGUGGGGAAUUUUGGACAAUGGGCGCAAGCCUGAUCCAGCCAUGCCGCGUGAGUGAAGAAGGCCUUCGGGUUGUAAAGCUCUUUCGGCGGGGACGAAACGGUUCGUGCUAACACCACGGACUAAUGACGGUACCCGAAGAAGAAGCACCGGCUAACUACGUGCCAGCAGCCGCGGUAAUACGUAGGGUGCAGGCGUUAAUCGGAAUUACUGGGCGUAAAGCGUGCGCAGGCGGUUUGUUAAGACAGGUGUGAAAUCCCCGGGCUUAACCUGGGAACUGCGCUUGUUACUGGCAGACUUGAGUGUGGCAGAGGGGGGUGGAAUUCCAGGUGUAGCAGUGAAAUGCGUAGAGAUCUGGAGGAACACCGAUGGCGAAGGCAGCCCCCUGGGUUAACACUGACGCUCAUGCACGAAAGCGUGGGGAGCAAACAGGAUUAGAUACCCUGGUAGUCCACGCCCUAAACUAUGUCAACUGGUUGUCGGGGAAGCAAUUCCUUGGUAACGAAGCUAACGCGUGAAGUUGACCCCCUGGGGAGUACGGCCCCAAG